GAGUUUGAUCCUGGCUCAGAUUGAACGCUGGCGGCAUGCCUUACACAUGCAAGUCGAACGGCAGCACGGGAGCUUGCUCCUGGUGGCGAGUGGCGAACGGGUGAGUAAUGCAUCGGAACGUAUCCUGGAGUGGGGGGAUAACGUAGCGAAAGUUACGCUAAUACCGCAUAUUCUGUGAGCAGGAAAGCGGGGGACCUUCGGGCCUCGCGCUCUUGGAGCGGCCGAUGUCGGAUUAGCUAGUUGGUGAGGUAAAGGCUCACCAAGGCGACGAUCCGUAGCAGGUCUGAGAAGAUGAUCUGCCACACUGGAACUGAGACACGGUCCAGACUCCUACGGGAGGCAGCAGUGGGGAAUUUUGGACAAUGGGGGCAACCCCGAUCCAGCCAUGCCGCGUGAGUGAAGAAGGCCUUCGGUCGU
This 417-nucleotide ribosomal RNA is filed under the name bacterium enrichment culture clone ALO1_GLFRUDD03G7XE6. Its description in RNAcentral is "bacterial SSU rRNA". It matches the Rfam family "Bacterial small subunit ribosomal RNA", at positions 9 to 426 of the family's 1533-position model. The record is from RNAcentral.